Molecule: unclassified non-coding RNA, 239 nt
Filed under: uncultured fungus
Lineage: Eukaryota; Fungi
Description: partial contains 5.8S ribosomal RNA, internal transcribed spacer 2, and large subunit ribosomal RNA
Source: RNAcentral
AACGCACAUUGCGCCCACCAGCAUUCUGGUGGGCAUGCCUGUUCGAGCGUCAUUUCAACCCUCAAGCCCCGGCUUGGUGUUGGGGUUCUGCGCCUGCAGUCCCCGAAAUCCAGUGGCGGACACGCUAGGUCUCCGAGCGCAGUAGUUUCUCCUCGCUCAGGGCGUCCGGCGUGGGCUUGCCUCGCACCCGUCUACACAAGGUUGACCUCGGAUCAGGUAGGAAUACCCGCUGAACUUAA